This 467-nucleotide ribosomal RNA is filed under the name uncultured bacterium. Its description in RNAcentral is "partial 16S ribosomal RNA". It matches the Rfam family "Bacterial small subunit ribosomal RNA", at positions 28 to 507 of the family's 1533-position model. The record is from RNAcentral.
GACGAACGCUGGCGGCGUGCUUAACACAUGCAAGUCGAACGGAAAGGCCUCUUUCGGGGGGUACUCGAGUGGCGAACGGGUGAGUAACACGUGAGUAACCUGCCCUUGACUUUGGGAUAACUUCAGGAAACUGGGGCUAAUACCGGAUAGGAGCUCCUGCUGCAUGGUGGGGGUUGGAAAGUUUCGGCGGUUGGGGAUGGACUCGCGGCUUAUCAGCUUGUUGGUGGGGUAGUGGCUUACCAAGGCUUUGACGGGUAGCCGGCCUGAGAGGGUGACCGGCCACAUUGGGACUGAGAUACGGCCCAGACUCCUACGGGAGGCAGCAGUGGGGAAUAUUGCACAAUGGGUGGAAGCCUGAUGCAGCAAUGCCGUGUGCGGGAUGACGGCCUUCGGGUUGUAAACCGCUUUCGCUCAUGACGAAGCUUUGUGUGACGGUAGUGGGUAAAGAAGCACCGGCUAACUACGUG